Long non-coding RNA from Rosa chinensis, 325 nucleotides. RefSeq lists it as uncharacterized. The transcript has 3 exons. Lineage: Eukaryota; Viridiplantae; Streptophyta; Magnoliopsida; Rosales; Rosaceae. The record is from RefSeq and is a predicted model, not a curated record.
GCUCCUCCUCUAGCAGCGGCGCCCCCCCCCCAGUUCUCUCACAAGUCCUUAUUUCUUCUCUACUCGCCCCGGCGCGGCCUUCACUGCUCGGCUUCAACAUUGACGAGCUUCCGUUGCCGUUCAUGGAGAAUGGUGUGGUUUCAUCGGCUUUGGUCAUAUUUGGGAGUGCUAGUGUCUUUGAUGCAGUUACUGCAGAAAAGGUUCGUGAACUUCUUAUUGUGGCUGCUGCAGUUGCUGCUGAGGUCAUUGGAAACUGUCAUUGAUGUAAAGAGUAGUGGCCAGAACUGUCCUCCAGCUGCUGCAGAUUUUGUUUGUAGUUGAAGAC